UACGAAGGGGGGCUAGCGUUGUUCGGAAUUACUGGGCGUAAAGGGCGCGUAGGCGGCCCUGUCAGUCAGGCGUGAAAGCCCCCGGGCUCAACCUGGGGAACUGCGCUUGAUACUGCAGGGCUUGAGUUCCGGAGAGGAUGGUGGAAUUCCCAGUGUAGAGGUGAAAUUCGUAGAUAUUGGGAAGAACACCGGUGGCGAAGGCGGCCAUCUGGACGGACACUGACGCUGAGAAGCGAAAGCAUGGGGGAGCGAACAGG
RNAcentral lists this ribosomal RNA (257 nucleotides) under uncultured bacterium. RNAcentral describes it as "partial 16S ribosomal RNA". It matches the Rfam family "Bacterial small subunit ribosomal RNA", at positions 524 to 776 of the family's 1533-position model. The record is from RNAcentral.